GGUUUCUCUGUGUAGCUUUGGAGCCUAUCCUGGCGCUCACUCUGGAGACCAGGCUGGUCUCGAACUCACAGAGAUCCACCUGCCUCUGCCUCCCAAGUGCUGGGAUUAAAGGCAUGCACCACCAAUGCCCG
Molecule: microRNA precursor, 131 nt
Organism: Cricetulus griseus (Chinese hamster)
Lineage: Eukaryota; Metazoa; Chordata; Mammalia; Rodentia; Cricetidae
Source: Ensembl